UGCGGAGGGACAUUACAAGUGACCC
RNAcentral lists this ribosomal RNA (25 nucleotides) under Cladosporium sphaerospermum. Its description in RNAcentral is "partial 18S ribosomal RNA". The record is from RNAcentral. Lineage: Eukaryota; Fungi; Ascomycota; Dothideomycetes; Cladosporiales; Cladosporiaceae.